RNAcentral lists this long non-coding RNA (457 nucleotides) under Homo sapiens (human). RNAcentral describes it as "HSALNT0344489". The record is from RNAcentral. Lineage: Eukaryota; Metazoa; Chordata; Mammalia; Primates; Hominidae.
CGGCGCGCAAUCAUUCCGAGAGCUGCAGAAUUCCCUGGUAGACGCUGGCGGGAAAGCCGCUCCUCCAGGACUUUCCUUCUCUAUUUUCUAUCUGCUCAAUUCAAAGACAAGUGCUAUUUCCACUGACUGUUGUCUGUACAUGACCCCGAAUAGAAGCAGUGACCCAUGGCUCUUCAUUAAAAUGGUCCUGAGACUAAAAACAAAACGUCCAAGGCAUGCCCUCAAUAAAAAGAAAGAAAGCGAGAAUGAAACUGUAGACAGAUACACAGUGUCCUGGAAGGAGUUUUAGUGGAGGAUUCCACUCAUCCAUCACUUCGUGUCCUGCGUCUCUUUGAAAUUCCUUGAGCUGACCCAGCUGCCGUUCAAUAAACACUCCAGUGUGGGGGUGACAAAUGUAAUUUUCACCUAAACUGCGUUGCCGUCAUUCUAAUAUAAAGGCUUGCCUCUUUGAAAUACA